GAUGAACGCUGGCGGCGUGCCUCAAACAUGCAAGUCGAGCGGGGCUAUGUAAUAUCGCAAGGUAGAACAUAGCCUAGCGGCGAACGGGUGAGUAACACGUGGGUAACCUGCCUGGAAGACAGGGAUAACGAUUCGAAAGGGUCGCUAAUACCUGAUAAUAUCCUUUCAUCGCAUGGUGAUAGGAAGAAAGGGGAAACCCGCUUUCAGAUGGGCCCGCGUCCCAUCAGCUAGUUGGUAAGGUAAAGGCUUACCAAGGCGACGACGGGUAGCCGGUCUGAGAGGAUGUACGGCCACACUGGGACUGAGAUACGGCCCAGACUCCUACGGGAGGCAGCAGUUGGGAAUCUUAGGCAAUGGACGAAAGUCUGACCUAGCGACGCCGCGUGAGGGAAGAAGGCCUUCGGGUUGUAAACCUCUGUCAUGGGGGAAGAAGGAAGUGACGGUACCCCAAGAGGAAGCCCCUGCUAACUACGUGCCAGCAGCCGCGGUAAGAGUACUCUAU
RNAcentral lists this ribosomal RNA (502 nucleotides) under uncultured bacterium. Its description in RNAcentral is "bacterial SSU rRNA". It matches the Rfam family "Bacterial small subunit ribosomal RNA", at positions 28 to 530 of the family's 1533-position model. The record is from RNAcentral.